AUUUAAAUAGUUUAAUUAAAAUAUUAAAUUGUGGAUUUAAUGAUGUAAUUUACUUUAGAUA
Molecule: transfer RNA, 61 nt
Filed under: Tinaminyssus melloi
Lineage: Eukaryota; Metazoa; Arthropoda; Arachnida; Mesostigmata; Rhinonyssidae
Description: tRNA-His
Source: RNAcentral